RNAcentral lists this ribosomal RNA (433 nucleotides) under uncultured bacterium. RNAcentral's name for it is "partial 16S ribosomal RNA". It matches the Rfam family "Bacterial small subunit ribosomal RNA", at positions 29 to 507 of the family's 1533-position model. The record is from RNAcentral.
AACGAACGCUGGCGGCAUGCCUAACACAUGCAAGUCGAACGAGACCUUCGGGUCUAGUGGCGCACGGGUGCGUAACGCGUGGGAACCUGCCCUUAGGUUCGGAGUAACUCCCCGAAAGGGGUGCUAAUACCGGAUAAUGUCUUCGGACCAAAGAUUUAUCGCCUUUGGAUGGGCCCGCGUUGGAUUAGCUAGUUGGUAGGGUAAAAGCCUACCAAGGCGACGAUCCAUAGCUGGUCUGAGAGGAUGAUCAGCCACACUGGGACUGAGACACGGCCCAGACUCCUACGGGAGGCAGCAGUGGGGAAUAUUGGACAAUGGGCGAAAGCCUGAUCCAGCAAUGCCGCGUGAGUGAUGAAGGCCUUAGGGUUGUAAAGCUCUUUUACCCGGGAUGAUAAUGACAGUACCGGGAGAAUAAGCGCCGGCUAACUCCGUG